This is an RNA transcript of Malania oleifera, 854 nucleotides long. It is a transcript of the gene named probable protein phosphatase 2C 55, with no coding region annotated. The transcript is spliced from 5 exons. Lineage: Eukaryota; Viridiplantae; Streptophyta; Magnoliopsida; Santalales; Ximeniaceae. The record is from RefSeq and is a predicted model, not a curated record.
GCGCAAACUCAUCUCCACUCUUGAUCCACUCUCAUUUCUCCUCUGCUCAUCAGCCCUAGCCCUGAAACUGUGUUCCUCUCUCAGUUUCUUCUGAGUUAGAAGCGGCAUUGCUCGAUUGUUCGUGAGGGAAAGAGGCUGAACCAAGAUUAGCAGGGAACCCUCGAAAUUUCUCGCUAUCAUUAUCCUCUGCACGUCAGCUUUGGCUCUGAAACUGAUUUCCCCUCUCAGUUUCUUCCGAGUUAGAAGCAGCAUCGCAAACCGUUAGUGAGGGAAAGAGGCUGAACCAAGAUUAGCAGGGAACCCUCGGAAAUAUUGGCAACCAAGAGGAUGCCUACCAAGAGACCGUUUGAAGAACCGAAGGUGAAUGUGGGUGAAUAUUCUACUCUACCAGCUAAGAAACUGAGAACACAUUUUAGCCCCAAUUCAUCCUUAUGCAGAUGGAUGAUGUAUUAAACUUCGAGAUUUCGACUGCAAAAAACAUUAAAAGAACAAAAUGAGUUCGAGAUUAAGGGAAUAUUUAUUUGCACUAAAUAGAUUCUAUUUAGAGGGUCACUCUUAAUUGGUUCAUUGUUAAGUGAAGUAGUUAUAUUUUGUUGCCCCUCUUAAUACCCUUCGAAUGGCUCUCUUUCCUAGCGAUGGUUUGUUGCGGCUUUCAUUGAGAACAAUGUUGUUUGUAAUUAUCCCAUCUCAUCUUGAUUGUAAUUUCUCAUUCGAUUAGAGAUGGUGAGCUCAAUUUAUUGUGCCCUCCCAAAAAAAACUAUUGUAAAUUUAUUGUAAUUAUAGCUUAUGAUAUUUGUUCUAUACUUUUUGAGCUAUACUGUUCUAUGAUGUAUAAAUUUGUUCUUUAUUUUUCA